This 643-nucleotide long non-coding RNA is filed under the name Ananas comosus (pineapple). RNAcentral describes it as "long non-coding RNA (ACOM_LNC044556)". The record is from RNAcentral. Lineage: Eukaryota; Viridiplantae; Streptophyta; Magnoliopsida; Poales; Bromeliaceae.
UCGAUUUCACUAAUUUUUUCGUUAAAUUAGUGAUAAAGUUAAAAUUAAAGAGUAUUAAAGUGAAUAUUCGAUAAUUCUAGGCAGGGUAUCUGAAGUUUUUUUGCAUAUAAUUUAACGAAAUAUUAAAGAAAAAGCCGACGAAAAGAUAAAAAUGAAACAACAUGACACUAACUUGAUACACCUUAAGGUUUCGUUUGGGAUUGUGAGGAGAUUGCGUUACGUGCGGUGAGAAACGACGAUGGAAAAAUACCUUAUUUGUUUCCGUACGUAAUAUUGCGUUCCGCAUAUUACGGUUAGUCGGUUAUGGCUUUUUCUUAACUCCAUUCUAUCUAAUAGCGUUAGAUCCACCUAAAUACCAAACUAAGCCUAAACCACAUGGUACUAAAAUGAGAAAGUGCGAAACCACAUGGGUGGUAUUUGAAGUUUACCCUAAUAAUAAUAAUAAACUUUUGCUUAUAUGUCCUAUACUUUUAUUUAAAACUUAUAAAUUUAUCUUUUAAUUUUAAAAUGCUAUUCUAAAUUCUAAAUUUCUUUAGUAAACCCAAAAAAAUAGGGGUUUAUUUUUAAAAACAAUUUAUAAUAAAAAAAAAUAUUUUUCUCAAUCAAAGAUAUGUUAGAUAUUAUUUCUUUAAAAAACAGAAAC